GAUGAACGCUGGCGGCGUGCUUAACACAUGCAAGUCGAACGAAGCAUUUAGAACGGAUUACUUCGGUUUGAAGUUCUUUAUGACUGAGUGGCGGACGGGUGAGUAACGCGUGGGUAACCUGCCUUGUACUGGGGGAUAGCAGCUGGAAACGGCUGGUAAUACCGCAUAAGCGCACAAUGUUGCAUGACAUGGUGUGAAAAACUCCGGUGGUAUAAGAUGGACCCGCGUCUGAUUAGCUAGUUGGUGAGAUAACAGCCCACCAAGGCGACGAUCAGUAGCCGACCUGAAGGGGUGACCGGCCACAUUGGGACUGAGACACGGCCCAGACUCCUACGGGAGGCAGCAGUGGUGAAUAUUGCACAAUGGAGGAAACUCUGAUGCAGCGACGCCGCGUGAGUGAAGAAGUAAUUCGUUAUGUAAAGCUCUAUCAGCAGGGAAGAUAGUGACGGUACCUGACUAAGAAGCUCCGGCUAAAUACGUGCCAGCAGCCGCCGUAA
Molecule: ribosomal RNA, 497 nt
Filed under: uncultured bacterium
Lineage: Bacteria
Description: partial 16S ribosomal RNA
Rfam family: Bacterial small subunit ribosomal RNA
Source: RNAcentral